GGCAGGGUAGCUCAGUGGUAGAGCAGCGGACUCAUAAGCCGUUGGUCGUGAGUUCAAAUCUCACCCCUGCCA
This 72-nucleotide transfer RNA is filed under the name Elusimicrobia bacterium RIFOXYA1_FULL_47_7. Its description in RNAcentral is "tRNA-Met". It matches the Rfam family "tRNA". Rfam says of the family: Transfer RNA (tRNA) molecules are approximately 80 nucleotides in length. Their secondary structure includes four short double-helical elements and three loops (D, anti-codon, and T loops). The record is from RNAcentral. RNAcentral also lists the same sequence under 6 other names. Lineage: Bacteria; Pseudomonadati; Elusimicrobiota.